Molecule: long non-coding RNA, 704 nt
Filed under: Nicotiana benthamiana
Lineage: Eukaryota; Viridiplantae; Streptophyta; Magnoliopsida; Solanales; Solanaceae
Description: long non-coding RNA (NBEN_LNC014518)
Source: RNAcentral
AUAUACUAAAGCAGAAGAAACUUUUCACUCGGCGUCAUCACCAUCGUUCUCCGUAUCAUUAUCUUCAAGAAACUCAUCUCAGCAUCAGCGUCCUUAUCGGUCGUUGGUUUCGCAGGGUCGUAGCUGCAGUUGAAACAAGCCUCUCGUGCCUUCACCUGAGCUCCUUCAUAAGUAGCCUUAGAAACAUUUCCUGCCUCCCAAAAACUCUUGUAUACAUCUCGUUGGGCCUCGGCAUGAACCCAAGGCUCAUGCAAGUGAUGAGGAACAGUGGCAGAGGCAGAUUCAACUUGAGCCAGCAAUUGUGCCUUUUCAGCCUCAAGGAUAGGGACCCAAUCUCCCAAGUUUGAAUCUUCCAGGUAUAUUUUGCCAAUGUACUCUUCGAGCCUCGUCUCCCUUAGCGUGGUCGUUGCGCUCUCGAAUUCCUACUAGGAUUGAAGGACACAGAUAGUGCCCUCCAAUGCCACCGCCCUUGCUAAAUCUGACGCUCGAGCAUUCUCGGCAUUCUCCAACUCGGACACCUUUCUCUCCAGCUCGGCUAACUUCCCCAUCCAUUCUGCACUCAAAGCUUCAACUCUGGCUGCAUUUUGAUCAAGCUCGUAUUGCAACACCUUCACCUUCACCUGGAGAUGCUCACACUCUGCAGCGAACCCCUUUCCCAACUUAAGUUCUUCAUCCUUUUACACAAAGUAGCUCAUCGAGCUCAC